AGCGAGGAGGUACAGAUUGGAGACCCACGUGAAGAAGCUGUCUGGCCAUGUUUUGGUAGAGUAGCUGUGCUGUGCUGGGGGAUUCCUUCUGCCCUUGGCCAGUUUGGACUCUCAAAAGCCCUAAGACUGAAACAGCUGAGUCUCCCAAACAGAAAAGAUGGCAGCCCAUUCCUCCCCACAGGAACUCUGUCCCAGGUAGAAUAUGGUGAUGGGUGCUGUGCAAGAAGAAGGAGGGAAGAAGGAAGCUGAGUGUGCAGCAAAGACACCUGCAGGGACACACAGAACCAGGCAUUUGCUGAAGGACACCUGGAUUGCACAACCAGUGGCUAACUUGCAUGAAAAAAACAUUCUAGAGUCUGGAGUUGCUUCUGUUGGCCAUCAAUUUCCUGUGGUGCAGAGGGGCUACAAAUAUAAUACAGAUUAAACUCCCUGCAGGAAGUCUCUUAUGGAUAAGAACAAGUUCAGCUUCCCAUUGGGGAUGACAGAGCUGGUGCUCAGGUAGUCAACAUCCUGCUGAGCCUAUGAGAAAGCAUUUGGGACAACUUGACAAUGCAUGAUAUCUUUUAUCUAUUUUUUAAUAGUUCCAGAGAUCACUGGAUUCAACGAGAAAUUGAUUGCAUCAGAGUCCCCUCACAAACAUAUCUUUAAGGAGAAGGAGAGGAUUUUAAAACAAUCUAUCACCUAUCUUUGACCAUAUGGACUAAACUUGAUAUCCACCAAUAGACACUGAUGCCUGCAAGUCAACAGCAUAAAGAGUGGUAAAGUCAGUGCUGCAAAAGAUGAAAUGUUUUUAAUGUGGUGCGAAGUUUAAGAAAUCUUGUUCACACAAAUAGCAGUGAUCUCUUUUCUAUGAUUCCUUUUCUGUGAACAUUCAGGACUAUCUAUCUGAACGAAAUGGGACCCCCAUCUCCUGCCACUUCUGGAGAACAAACAACACACUCAAAACCAUUUACCCAUCAUCAUCACUGUCCAGAUCAUUGCACAGGAUUUUAAAGGAAAAAUAAGGUAAUGUUGCUGAUUUUCAGAAAUAUUUUCAGCUUCAGAUAUCUGUGAUAAAAAUGAGAAAAAAGAAGUGGAUGUUCUGUCAGAAGGUAUUGGUGAGAUAGGAGACCCAGAAUUGGGAGAAGCAACUUAGAUGGAGAGCAACUUAAAUGGGAGAAGUGAUGAACAUGCGUGAGAAAAAAGUGACUCUGCUCCCUUUGUGAUCGGGGCGAACAUGACUAACUGAUCCAGGAAUUUGUUUCAUUUGGUCAUGAAUGGGCUUUGCAAAUCCUUCCUAAUGACAUGACAGUGUCACCUACUGGCAAAGCAGGACCCUAUGAGGCAUCUAAAGGGAGAUUUAGCCAGAUAUGUUGUUUAUCAGAAGCCAGGUGUAGUCCCAGCUACUUGGAAGGCUGAGGCAAGAGGAUCACUUGAGAAGAGACGUUCAAGGCUGUAGUGCACCAUGAUUGCACCUUGUGAAUAGCCACUGAACUCCAGCCUGAGCAACAGAGUGAGACCUCAUCUGUAAACAAACAAACAAAACUGGUCCUGAAUUUCAAUGUCAAUUUAUUGUAGAAAUCGUAAAAACUUAAUCCUCCUAAAAUAAUGCUGUUUUUAGGGGCAACACAUAAUUGUGUACAAUUUCAUGUUUCUUUUGAAGUGAUAAAUUAAUUAAAAAUAAUUGAAACAAACAGUUAUUAAAGAAUAAAGAAAGACAUUGUGACAAAGAAAUGACCGGGAACCACAUAAAGCAAAAUAUUUUGUACUUUCAAAUAAUGCUGAUUUUUAGGGCUAACAAGUUUCAGUAGUAGCUUAAUAAAUAUACAUUAAGAAAUGCCCUUUCUGAAUUCAAUUUUAUGAUGUUCAAGUACAAAAAAUAUUCAUCCAUUGAGACUUUGAACUGUGAAAUGGUCAAUGAAGAGGUGAGCAGCACUUAACUUGAAGCUAAUGUCUCAUCAAAUUGUUCGAACUUCACUCCUUGGUCAUAAGGUUUUCCAGAUCCAGAGCAAGGUAGCCAUAUGGCAUUGAUAUUCGAAAUACAAAGCCAAGUAUCGGUUUUAAAAACAGUAUUAUUGAUUUUUUUCUUCUUUUCCAAUUUUCUCUUUUUGAAAUUGUGCUGCUACAAAUUUGAAUUUUUAAAAUGUCUUAUUUUUCAAAUUUGUAUUGUUUCAUCUAUUGAAUGGUUUUUACCUUAAGGAAGUUCAGAAAGUUUUUAUGUUCUCAGCCAUUCUUUUUAAUAGAAAAUAUCUUAAAAACUGAAAAGCCUCUGAAAGGCUCAGGUGAACGAAAAUAGAAAAAAAAGUAUCUAUCUAUCUAUCUCACUCUUUUUUUUAAUUCCUCUUUAAUGCUUCCCUUACAAAUAUAUUGGAAAGAAAACUAUUCAGGUGGUACAAGGCUUCUCCCUGGUUUCAUUUUUCUUGCUCGUAUAUACAAUUAAUUAAUUAUUUGUGGCAGCAUUAUUUUUACUUUGGAGCCCUGAUUUCCCGCAAUUAUUGGUAUGAUGGAGCUCAGACCUGUGUUUCAGAGUUAAAUACUCUUCCAAGAAUUUCCACAUUAUAAAACUCCCCAACCAGCACUAAACUGUACACAUAAAAAUUGUAAAAAUGGUAAAUUAUAUAUGCAUAUUGUACCUUAACAUUUUUUUAUAAAAAAUAAAGAUUUUUUUAAAAAAAACAAACAAAUACCUCCUGCCCCACAAAAAAAAUUUCUCACCCCAUCCAAGUACCAGUCACUAGACUCUAACAAACAGUUCGGAAUUCAACUGGUGUCCAAAAGGUUAACAACAUUACCAAGGUGAAGGAACCAAAUCGGUAUCAUACAUUGGAGCCAUGGGGAAGCUUUUGGAACUAGGAUUUCUGAGAUCUUUUUACCAUAUACAGCAGGGAAAUCUUUGUAAAAAGGAGGAAAUUGGUAUAGUAUAUUCUGCUGCUGGCACAAAAAGUGUUUUUACCAAACUAAAGUAUCCUGUAGUUCAAAAAUGUUAUCACAAGAUUCCAUUUGUGUAUCUAUUUAAAGUUUUGGUAUAUUUUCAAUAAAAAUUAAUAAAAAUAUUUCUUCUCAUAAUAUGUGGUUUAAAUCCAGAUUAUUUUACUGUAAUAUGUCUUGAUAGAGUUUUAGAAUAUUGAAAUAGGGUAUUAAGAUGCUUUAAAUCGAUUACUGAUUUGAACAUUAUAAGUGUGUAUUUGUGUAUGUGUGUCAUAUUCAAAUAUGAUGAAUCAUGUAUGUUGGUGUGUGAACAUAUGCAUAUAUAAAGCAUUUUUAUCAGCUGUUUCUGGCUUCAUACCACAGAGAACAAUCUGAACUGUCAAAGAAAAUUAAACCUUGAGUAAGAAUUCCUC
Pan troglodytes (chimpanzee) is the source of this 3320-nucleotide long non-coding RNA. RefSeq lists it as uncharacterized. Lineage: Eukaryota; Metazoa; Chordata; Mammalia; Primates; Hominidae. The record is from RefSeq and is a predicted model, not a curated record. The transcript is spliced from 10 exons.